GAUGAACGCUGGCGGCGUGCCUAAUACAUGCAAGUAGAACGCUGAAGGAGGAGCUUGCUUCUCUGGAUGAGUUGCGAACGGGUGAGUAACGCGUAGGUAACCUGCCUUGUAGCGGGGGAUAACUAUUGGAAACGAUAGCUAAUACCGCAUAACAGUAGAUGUUGCAUGACAUUUGCUUAAAAGGUGCAAUUGCAUCGCUACCAGAUGGACCUGCGUUGUAUUAGCUAGUUGGUGGGGUAACGGCUCACCAAGGCGACGAUACAUAGCCGACCUGAGAGGGUGAUCGGCCACACUGGGACUGAGACACGGCCCAGACUCCUACGGGAGGCAGCAGUAGGGAAUCUUCGGUAAUGGACGGAAGUCUGACCGAGCAACGCCGCGUGAGUGAAGAAGGUUUUCGGAUCGUAAAGCUCUGUUGUAA
This 421-nucleotide ribosomal RNA is filed under the name uncultured Streptococcus sp. RNAcentral's name for it is "bacterial SSU rRNA". It matches the Rfam family "Bacterial small subunit ribosomal RNA", at positions 28 to 441 of the family's 1533-position model. Lineage: Bacteria; Bacillati; Bacillota; Bacilli; Lactobacillales; Streptococcaceae. The record is from RNAcentral.